Molecule: long non-coding RNA, 1306 nt
Filed under: Marmota monax (woodchuck)
Lineage: Eukaryota; Metazoa; Chordata; Mammalia; Rodentia; Sciuridae
Source: RNAcentral
CCAAUAGUGUUAUUUUUACAAUAGAAAUAGCUUUAUUGUAUCUUUCUAAUUUAUAAAGAAUUCAUGAUCAUUGUUAAAAUAAUCAUAAUAACAAUCAUUAUUUUUAAUAGUGCUAGGGAAUCAAACCCCUUAUACAUACUAGGCAAGCGCUCUACCACUGAGCUAUAACCCCUGCCCCAAAUAAUUUUUUUAAAUAUGAAGAAAUAUGUUAGAAUUUAUCUAAUUCUAUCUUUGGCUUAACAAAUAGUUAAGUACAAAUAUUCUGAAAUCCUUCUUCCCUAUCAUGGUCACCAUUGAUAUUUCCAGCACCAUUUGUCAAAUAAUCCAUCCUGCCCCCACUUGUUUAUAAUACUAACUCUAUAAUACAAAAGAGCAUACUUUUCUAACAUUUGGAAAACUUAAAAGAAUUGAUACUAGAUUUGGAUAUAAUUUACAGAAUUUUAACUAUUGUCUUAAAAGGAUUUUCAUAAGGUAACCUGAUUUCCUUAAGCAGGGUAAAUAAGUAAAAAGAAUACAAAGUACUAUCAUGUAAGAAGUAAAGAUUUCCUAAGAAUGGCCAGUUCUUUUAUGGUUUGAGGAAGUAUGAAAACUAAGAACUGCAAAUUUAUGAAACAGAGGCACAGAUUGUCUUAGUUUCACAUCCAGCGUGCCAUAUGCAUCUUGCUAAAUGUUCUUAAAUUAAGACCACUAGCAUUUCCUCUCACAAAUAAUUUAUCUGUAAUGUGUCAUGGAAGUAUCCAAGAGAAAACAGCCAAUUUCUAGAAAAGCACUGCAUAAACAGUCUUGCUAGAAUGUGAAGCCAGGAAUACCUGCAUUACUCUCUUUGGGAGGCUUUAUGGAAAGAAGUCAUUUGUUAUAUUUCACCACCACCAUGAAACAGAUGACCAUAACUUUGCCCUACCCAUGAAUAUCUUUCAAGAAAAUUAAUGACUUGUCAUUUUUGUGAACUUCAUUGUUAUAUUCCUCAUGAGUAUAUUAAAAUAUAUUUGAUUUAUAAAUUUAAAAAAUUAUUAGUACCAGUUACAGACCAUAUUGAUCAGCAUUUAGGAUGAGAGUCCUUUUGUUUUUCUACCCUUGGGCCCAAUUUUCUUGCCAAAAAUACCGAUGAGGUUACUCAGCUUUUAGGAAGACAUCCUAUGAUAUAUAUGACAUGAAGUUUUGAAAAUGUAGUCAAUUAUUAUUCAUCUCUUUUCCAAAGUGGUUUAAAAUAUUUUAAAUGAUUAAAAUACAAACCGUCUUCAACCUAAAAUGGUUUGACUUACAAUUUUUUCUACCUUACGAUGGUAUAAAAGUGAGAUGCAUGCAG